Molecule: ribosomal RNA, 497 nt
Filed under: uncultured bacterium
Lineage: Bacteria
Description: partial 16S ribosomal RNA
Rfam family: Bacterial small subunit ribosomal RNA
Source: RNAcentral
GAUGAACGCUGGCGGCGUGCCUAAUACAUGCAAGUCGAGCGAACGGACGAGAAGCUUGCUUCUCUGAUGUUAUCGGCGGACGGGUGAGUAACACGUGGAUAACCUACCUAUAAGACUGGGAUAACUUCGGGAAACCGUAUCUAAUACCGGAUAAUAUUUUGAACCUCAUGGUUCAAAAGUGAAAGACGGUCUUGCUGUCACUUAUAGAUGGAUCCGCGCUGCAUUAGCUAGUUGGUAAGGUAACGGCUUACCAAGGCAACGAUGCAUAGCCGACCUGAGAGGGUGGUCGGCCACACUGGAAGUGAGACACGGUCCAGACACCUACGGGAGGCAGCAGUAGGGAAUCUUCCGCGAUGGGCGAAAGCCUAACGGAGCAACGCCGCGUGAGUGAUGAAGGUCUUCGGAUCGUAAAGCUCUGUUAUUAGGGAAGAACAUAUGUGUAAGUAACUGUGCACAUCUUGACGGUACCGAAACAGAAAGCCACGGCUAACUACGUG